UGCUAAUAGAUUUUCUUAUUAGUACCCUCUGCUCAAUGAAAUUUUAAAUAGCCGCAAGAUUUUUAUUGUGCUAAGGUAGCAUAAUCAUUUGCCUUUUAAUUAAAGGCUAGUAUGAAGGAGAUCACACCUCAAUCAUUUUAUUUCAAUUAAAUCUGAAAUUAAUUCAAACAUUAAAAAGUGUUUAUAAAUUAGAAAGACGACAAGACCCUAUCGAACUUCACUUUAGUUUAGCUGGGGCAGCUAAUUAAUUAAAAUUUUAAUAAAUAUAUUUUAAGAUAUACGACCCAAUAAAAUUGAUUAAUAGAUCAAGUUACCGUAGGGAUAACAGCGUAAUAUCUUUAUAAAGUUCGUAUUUAAAAAGACGUUUGCGACCUCGAUGUUGAAUACUAACCUACUAAGCGCAAUAGCAUGGAAAGGGGGUCUGUUCGACCUAUAAAAAAGUACA
Molecule: ribosomal RNA, 445 nt
Filed under: Hersilia sericea
Lineage: Eukaryota; Metazoa; Arthropoda; Arachnida; Araneae; Hersiliidae
Description: partial 16S ribosomal RNA
Rfam family: Bacterial large subunit ribosomal RNA
Source: RNAcentral